This 374-nucleotide long non-coding RNA is filed under the name Ananas comosus (pineapple). RNAcentral describes it as "long non-coding RNA (ACOM_LNC000821)". The record is from RNAcentral. Lineage: Eukaryota; Viridiplantae; Streptophyta; Magnoliopsida; Poales; Bromeliaceae.
UGGGAGUGGAGUUUUAUUAGUUCUACUAUUUGUUUGGUACUCACUGCAGCCAGCAGAGUUUGGUCUUUGAUUAAUUAGACCGUCAUUUUCUACAAGGGAUCAUGUAGAACGCAGCGGAAGUAUUCGUUCGUACUUUUUUGCGGAAGCGAUUCGCGCUAGAACGCGACGAGCCCGGAUCGUAGAGGUUGAUUCACGUAUCCUUGGAUCGUCCUUGAAAAUCUUCUAUCGCUCCAAACUCGCGGUGGAUCGAACUACAAAUGAGCACGAUCUCCAAUCCACCGUUCAAGACCCUCUACUUAAACCCGGCAUUUCUUCAUAGCUCCAGGCGAAACAAUCUUUGUACUCCUUCAAUAGCUUCUUUAAUUCUUCCUAUU